AGAGUUUGAUCCUGGCUCAGGAUGAACGCUGGCGGCGUGCCUAACACAUGCAAGUUGAGCGAUUUACUUCGGUAAAGAGCGGCGGACGGGUGAGUAACGCGUGGGUAACCUACCCUGUACACACGGAUAACAUACCGAAAGGUAUGCUAAUACGGGAUAAUAUAUUUGAGAGGCAUCUCUUGAAUAUCAAAGGUGAGCCAGUACAGGAUGGACCCGCGUCUGAUUAGUAGUUGGUAAGGUAACGGCUUACCAAGGCGACGAUCAGUAGCCGACCUGAGAGGGUGAUCGGCCACAUUGGAACUGAGACACGGUCCAAACUCCUACGGGAGGCAGCAGUGGGGAAUAUUGCACAAUGGGCGAAAGCCUGAUGCAGCAACGCCGCGUGAGUGAUGAAGGCCUUCGGGUCGUAAAACUCUGUCCUCAAGGAAGAUAAUGACGGUACUUGAGGAGGAAGCCCCGGCUAACUACGUGCCAGCAGCCGCGGUAAUACGUAGGGGGCUAGCGUUAUCCGGAUUUACUGGGCGUAAAGGGUGCGUAGGCGGUCUUUCAAGUCAGGAGUGAAAGGCUACGGCUCAACCGUAGUAAGCUCUUGAAACUGGGAGACUUGAGUGCAGGAGAGGAGAGUGGAAUUCCUAGUGUAGCGGUGAAAUGCGUAGAUAUUAGGAGGAACACCAGUUGCGAAGGCGGCUCUCUGGACUGUAACUGACGCUGAGGCACGAAAGCGUGGGGAGCAAACAGGAUUAGAUACCCUGGUAGUCC
This 759-nucleotide ribosomal RNA is filed under the name Clostridioides difficile CD144. RNAcentral describes it as "bacterial SSU rRNA". It matches the Rfam family "Bacterial small subunit ribosomal RNA", at positions 8 to 796 of the family's 1533-position model. Lineage: Bacteria; Bacillati; Bacillota; Clostridia; Peptostreptococcales; Peptostreptococcaceae. The record is from RNAcentral.